Molecule: transfer RNA, 71 nt
Filed under: Micavibrio aeruginosavorus
Lineage: Bacteria; Pseudomonadati; Bdellovibrionota; Bdellovibrionia; Bdellovibrionales; Pseudobdellovibrionaceae
Description: tRNA-Lys
Rfam family: tRNA (bases 12-68)
About the family: Transfer RNA (tRNA) molecules are approximately 80 nucleotides in length.
Source: RNAcentral
UAUUGAUACAUAAUGGCUAGGACUGACUUUUAAUCAGUAGGUCCCGGGUUCGAUCCCCGGAGCGAUCACCA